Molecule: ribosomal RNA, 301 nt
Filed under: uncultured bacterium
Lineage: Bacteria
Description: partial 16S ribosomal RNA
Rfam family: Bacterial small subunit ribosomal RNA
Source: RNAcentral
CAGUCGCCGCGGGAAUACAGAGGGUGCGAGCGUUAAUCGGAUUUACUGGGCGUAAAGCGUGCGUAGGCGGCUUCUUAAGUCGGAUGUGAAAUCCCUGAGCUUAACUUAGGAAUUGCAUUCGAUACUGGGAAGCUAGAGUAUGGGAGAGGAUGGUAGAAUUCCAGGUGUAGCGGUGAAAUGCGUAGAGAUCUGGAGGAAUACCGAUGGCGAAGGCAGCCAUCUGGCCUAAUACUGACGCUGAGGUACGAAAGCUUGGGGAGCAAACAGGAUUAGAUACCCCCGUAGUCCCUGUCUCUUAUAC